RNAcentral lists this small RNA (117 nucleotides) under Salmonella enterica subsp. enterica serovar Bovismorbificans. RNAcentral's name for it is "RtT sRNA". It matches the Rfam family "RtT RNA". Rfam says of the family: This family represents a bacterial cis-regulatory element known as RtT RNA. The exact function of RtT is unknown although it is thought that it may be involved in changing the cellular response in relation to amino acid starvation. Lineage: Bacteria; Pseudomonadati; Pseudomonadota; Gammaproteobacteria; Enterobacterales; Enterobacteriaceae. The record is from RNAcentral.
GUAUCUGAAGUCUGACGAGGAUGAGAACCUCCGGGGGCAAGAGGUUCGACCCGAGCGAAGCGAGAGAACGUUGCGAGCAACGGCCCGCAGUGGCAAGUCAUCCUCUGUCACCGGCAG